RNAcentral lists this transfer RNA (19 nucleotides) under Tachysurus brevianalis. Its description in RNAcentral is "partial tRNA-Thr". RNAcentral also lists the same sequence under 2 other names. The record is from RNAcentral. Lineage: Eukaryota; Metazoa; Chordata; Actinopteri; Siluriformes; Bagridae.
UUAAAAUCCUUCCUAGUGC